GAGGAUAUAGCUCAGGUGGUAGAGCACGUGCUUAGCAUGCAUGAAGUCCUGGGUUCAAUCUCCAGUAUCUCCC
RNAcentral lists this transfer RNA (73 nucleotides) under Camelus bactrianus (Bactrian camel). It matches the Rfam family "tRNA". From Rfam's summary of the family: Transfer RNA (tRNA) molecules are approximately 80 nucleotides in length. Their secondary structure includes four short double-helical elements and three loops (D, anti-codon, and T loops). Further hydrogen bonds mediate the characteristic L-shaped molecular structure. tRNAs have two regions of fundamental functional importance: the anti-codon, which is responsible for specific mRNA codon recognition, and the 3' end, to which the tRNAs corresponding amino acid is attached (by aminoacyl-tRNA synthetases). tRNAs cope with the degeneracy of the genetic code in two manners: having more than one tRNA (with a specific anti-codon) for a particular amino acid; and 'wobble' base-pairing, i.e. permitting non-standard base-pairing at the 3rd anti-codon position. RNAcentral also lists the same sequence under 2 other names. The record is from Rfam by way of RNAcentral. Lineage: Eukaryota; Metazoa; Chordata; Mammalia; Artiodactyla; Camelidae.